This 253-nucleotide ribosomal RNA is filed under the name uncultured bacterium. RNAcentral's name for it is "partial 16S ribosomal RNA". It matches the Rfam family "Bacterial small subunit ribosomal RNA", at positions 524 to 776 of the family's 1533-position model. The record is from RNAcentral.
UACGGAGGGUGCAAGCGUUAUCCGGAUUCACUGGGUUUAAAGGGUGCAUAGGUGGGUAGGUAAGUCAGUGGUGAAAUCCCCGAGCUUAACUUGGGAACUGCCGUUGAUACUAUCUAUCUUGAAUAUCGAGUAGGUAAGCGGAAUAUGUCAUGUAGCGGUGAAAUGCUUAGAUAUGACAUAGAACACCAAUUGCGAAGGCAGCUUACUUCAAGAUUAUUGACACUGAGGCACGAAAGCGUGGGGAUCAAACAGG